AGAAUCAACGCUGGCGGCGUGCCUAACACAUGCAAGUCGCACGAGAAAGGGGAGCAAUCCCUGAGUACAGUGGCGCACGGGUGAGUAACACGUGAAUGAUCUACCUCCGAGUGGGGAAUAACUGAGAGAAAUCUUAGCUAAUACCGCAUAAUACCCACGGGUCAAAGCAGCAAUGCGCUUGGAGAGGAGUUCGCGGCAGAUUAGUUAGUUGGCGGGGUAAUGGCCCACCAAGACGAUGAUCUGUAUCCGGCCUGAGAGGGCGCACGGACACACUGGAACUGAAACACGGUCCAGACUCCUACGGGAGGCAGCAGUGGGGAAUUUUGCGCAAUGGGGGAAACCCUGACGCAGCAACGCCGCGUGGAGGAUGAAGCCCCUUGGGGUGUAAACUCCUUUCGAUCGGGAAGAUAAUGACGGUACCGAUAUAAGAGCCCGGCUAACUUCGCGCCAGCAGCCGC
Molecule: ribosomal RNA, 458 nt
Filed under: uncultured bacterium
Lineage: Bacteria
Description: SSU rRNA
Rfam family: Bacterial small subunit ribosomal RNA
Source: RNAcentral